AGCAACCUACCCUUGACUCUGGGAUAACAGCGAGGAAACAGCUGCUACAUACCGGAUACCACCCCGGCAGACAUCAUGCUGGGCGUGGAAAGCUCCAGACCGUCAAGGAUGGGCUCGCGGCCUAUCAGCUUGUUGGUGAUUGCUCCGCUCACCAAGGCGACGACGGGUAGCCGGCCUGAGAGGGCUACCGGCCACACUGGGACUGAGAUACGGCCCAGACUCCUACGGGAGGCAGCAGUGGGGAAUAUUGCACAAUGGGCGAAAGCCUGAUGCAGCAACACCGCGUGCGGGAUGUCGGCCUUCGGGUUGUAAACCGCUUUCAGCAGGGUCGAAGGGUUUCUGACGGUACCUGCAGAAGAAGCACCGGCUAACUACGUGCCAGCAGCCGCGGUGAUACGUAGGGUGCGAGCGUUGUCCGGAAUUAUUGGGCGUAAAGAGCUUGUAGGCGGUUCGUUGCGUCGGAAGUGAAAACUCAGGGCUUAACCCUGAGCCUGCUUUCGAUACGGGCGGACUUGAGGGAUAAAGGGNGNACGGCAGUGCCUGGUGGAGCUGGUGGAAUGCGCAGAUAUCAGGAGGAACACCAGUGGCGAAGGCGGUUCUCUGGACAUUUCCUGACGCUGAGAAGCGAAAGCGUGGGGAGCAAACAGGCUUAGAUACCCUGGUAGUCCUCGCCGUAAGCGNNNNNNNNNNNNNNNNNNNNNNNNNCCACGGAUUCCGUGCAGAAGCUAACGCAUUAAGUGCCCCGCCUGGGGAGUACGGCCGCAAGGCUAAAACUCAAAGGAAUUGACGGGGGCCCGCACAAGCGGCGGAGCAUGCGGAUUAAUUCGAUGCAACGCGAAGAACCUUACCUGGGUUUGACAUAUACCGGAAACAUCUAGAGAUAGGUGCCCCGCAAGGUCGGUAUACAGGUGGUGCAUGGCUGUCGUCAGCUCGUGUCGUGAGAUGUUGGGUUAAGUCCCGCAACGAGCGCAACCCUCGUUCUAUGUUGCCAGCGGUUCGGCCAAAAACUCAUAGNGAGCGGCCGGGGUCAACUCGGAGGAAGGUGGGGAUGACGUCAAGUCAUCAUGCCCCUUAUGUCCAGGGCUUCACGCAUGCUACAAUGGCUGGUACAAAGGGCUGCAAUACCGCAAGGUGGAGCGAAUCCCAUAAAGCCAGUCGCUGUACGGAUUGGGGUCAGCAACUCGACCCCAUGAAGUCGGAGUCGCUAG
Molecule: ribosomal RNA, 1208 nt
Filed under: Azovibrio sp. PD1
Lineage: Bacteria; Pseudomonadati; Pseudomonadota; Betaproteobacteria; Rhodocyclales; Rhodocyclaceae
Description: partial 16S ribosomal RNA
Rfam family: Bacterial small subunit ribosomal RNA
Source: RNAcentral